This 116-nucleotide small nucleolar RNA is filed under the name Echinops telfairi (small Madagascar hedgehog). RNAcentral's name for it is "Small nucleolar RNA SNORA61 (ENSETEG00000026492.1)". Lineage: Eukaryota; Metazoa; Chordata; Mammalia; Afrosoricida; Tenrecidae. The record is from RNAcentral.
ACCCUCCAGAUUGCUUGCCCUUUGGAUCUACAUGUUGGUCUGAGUGGCUGUAAAAGGGGGAGAGGGAAAACGGAAACAGGAUUCUUUUGUGACCUGCGAGUUUGUUUCCAAAGACA